UCCCAGCUGUAAACGAUGCCCACUUGGUGUCGGCAGUCCUGCGGGGACUGUCGGUGCCGAAGCGAAGGCAAUAAGUGGGCCGCCUGGGGAGUACGGCCGCAAGGCUGAAACUUAAGGGAAUUGGCGGGGGAGCACUACAAGGGGUGGAGGCUGCUGUUCAAUUGGACUCGACGCCGGGAACCUCACCUGGGAAGACAGCAGGAUGAAGGUCACUCUGAAGGGGUUACCAGACA
RNAcentral lists this ribosomal RNA (233 nucleotides) under uncultured bacterium. Its description in RNAcentral is "partial 16S ribosomal RNA". It matches the Rfam family "Archaeal small subunit ribosomal RNA", at positions 745 to 977 of the family's 1478-position model. The record is from RNAcentral.